UUUGGAAUUUCCGAAAUGGCCGCCGUUGCCAUGGAAACUGCAAAAAUGUGAAAAAUUGAAAAAAUGCUCAAAACUGUCUAAAAAAUUUACAAACAAUUAUGUUGUAAUGUAUUUAUGUGUAAAUACUGUUUUAAUUUUCAAAAUGGCUGCAGUUUAGUGGCAAUGUGGGAAGGGUGCCAUCCGCUAUUGCUUGCAAUGGCAAAUCUAGUUAUGGCACCCUCAACGGAGUUGGGGUGACGUAUUGUUAUUCUACGUUUCUUUUUUUUUCUUAUUUUUCUUUUUCUUCUUCCACACAUUUUGUCCGUCGUGUUUCUCGGAAUCCAAUAGACCAUUGUUGAUGGAACUUUACUAUAAUGAGGACCCCAUGUAAAGUUGUGCACCUUG
Molecule: long non-coding RNA, 384 nt
Filed under: Mytilus galloprovincialis (Mediterranean mussel)
Lineage: Eukaryota; Metazoa; Mollusca; Bivalvia; Mytilida; Mytilidae
Source: RNAcentral